UAUGAGCGAUGGGGUGACGCAGUAGGGUAGUGACGCGGACUGAUGGAUGUCCGUCUAAGCAGUGAGGCUGAUGUGUAGGCAAAUCCGCACAUCGUAAGGCUGGGCUGUGAUGGGGAGCGAAAAUUAUAGUAGCGAAGGUCAUGAUCUCAGACUGCCAAGAAAAGCCUCUAGCCAGGAGAAGGUGCCCGUACCGCAAACCGACACAGGUAGGCGAGAAGAGAAUUCUAAGGCGCGCGGAAGAACUCUCGUUAAGGAACUCGGCAAAAUGACCCCGUAACUUCGGGAGAAGGGGUGCCUCGGUAGGGUGAAUAGCCCGAGGGGGCCGCAGUGAAAAGGCCCAAGCGACUGUUUAGCAAAAACACAGGUCUGUGCGAAGCCGCAAGGCGAAGUAUACGGGCUGACGCCUGCCCGGUGCUGGAAGGUUAAGGGGAGUGGUAAGC
Molecule: ribosomal RNA, 440 nt
Filed under: Paenibacillus polymyxa
Lineage: Bacteria; Bacillati; Bacillota; Bacilli; Caryophanales; Paenibacillaceae
Description: partial 23S ribosomal RNA
Rfam family: Bacterial large subunit ribosomal RNA
Source: RNAcentral